This 384-nucleotide unclassified non-coding RNA is filed under the name uncultured bacterium. RNAcentral describes it as "contains 16S-23S intergenic spacer region". The record is from RNAcentral.
UCCGGUUUGUCACCGGCGGUCUCCUUAGAGUUCCCACCAUUACGUGCUGGCAACUAAGGACAAGGGUUGCGCUCGUUGCGGGACUUAACCCAACAUCCCACGACACGAGCUGACGACAGCCAUGCAGCACCUGUCUCCGGUCCAGCCGAACUGAAGGACUCCGUCUCUGGAAUCCGCGACCGGGAUGUCAAGGGCUGGCAAGGUUCUGCGCGUUGCGUCGAAUUAAACCACAUGCUCCACCGCUUGUGCGGGCCCCCGUCAAUUCCUUUGAGUUUUAGCCUUGCGGCCGUACUUCCCAGGCGGGGCACUUAAUGCGUUAGCUACGGCACGGAGCCCGUCGAUCGAGCCCCACACCUAGUGCCCAACGUUUACGGCGUGGACUAC